RNAcentral lists this long non-coding RNA (6682 nucleotides) under Marmota monax (woodchuck). The record is from RNAcentral. Lineage: Eukaryota; Metazoa; Chordata; Mammalia; Rodentia; Sciuridae.
AUAUGUGGAUGUUUUAGGAGCCCGUGACCUUUGAGGAUGUGGCCAUGAAUUUCACCCAGGAGGAGUGGGCUCUGCUGGAUCCUUCCCAAAAGCAGCUCUACAGAGAUGUGAUGCAGGAAACCUCUGGGAACCUGGCCUUUCUAGGUAAAGGUGGCAUGAUUCCCUGGCUUGGUCAUUGGAAAGCAAAUGUCCCUUGUUCAUCAGUGUUGCUGCAUAAUUCUGAACGUGAAUUUGGGAACACUGGGGUGAAGACACGAGGCAUGAUCCUAUUAUACUUUGAAUAUAGCUAGAACCUAAUAAUUUUUCUAUAAUGUUGAAUGAUUCAUAGUGGUUUUUCUGGGUCUACAUUUUAGGAGAAAAAUGGAAAGAACUAAAUGUUGAAGAUGAGUUCAAAAGCCACAGGAAAAACCUAAGGUAAUUUGCACUCAUAAGGGAAAGCAGUGUUCCUGCAGAGUCUUGGAAUGAUAGGUAUUUUUGAAACAUGAGCACAUGGUACAAAUAAGGGCAGCUUCAAGUUGAUUUAAUCUCAGAAGUGUUCCUCCCAACUGUAUACAGGUUGAGCAUCUGAUGUGACUUGGAUCUGGAAUGUCCCCCAUAGGCUGAUGUGUAGCAGGUUUGUGCACAAUGCAGCAAUGUUCAAAGCUGGGGCAUUGGGAAGUGAUCAGAUAAAGAAGGACCUAACCUUAUCAGUGCAUCAGUCAAUUAAUAGAUGCAUAACUUUUUUAAAAGGAGGAAUCUAUUUUUAUUUAUUUUGAAAAUAUUCUUUGAGACAGGGUCUCGGUGAGUUGCUUAGGGCCUCACUAAGUUGCUGAGGCUGGUCUUAAAAUUAUAAUCCUCCUGUCUCAGCCUCCCAAGUCUCUGGAAUGACAGGCAUGCACUACUGCUCCUGGCGUAUAUUCGUAAGUGGAUGGCAUUCCUGGGAGGUGGCAGGGACUGUAGGAGAUAUGGACUAGUUGGAGGAAGUAGGGCCCUACAAGACUUCAAGCAUGCCCUGGAAGGCUUUAUCUUUGCCUGACCCCCUUCCUCACGUUUGAGUUUUAGCCACCAUUAGGGGAGCAACUUUGCUCUACCUCGCUCCCCACCAUGAUGUUCUGCCUCAAGCCCAAAGGGAUGGAACCUAUCAACUAGCAACUGAAACCUCUGAAACUAUGGACCAAAAAUAAAUCUUUCAUAUUUUAAGUUGUUUUUCUUAUACAUUUUGUCACAGGGAUGGAAAGCUAAUAGCCUCCAUAAUCAGAAAAUCCCAAACCCCAAAUAUUAACUAUUGGAAACAUUGGGAGCAAUAUAAUGCUAGGAGUGACAGUUUUUCAUAUGUGUAUAUGUGUGUGUGUGUGUACAUACACACACAUUGUUUUAUGCACAAAAUUAUUAAAAUUUUUAUAUUACCUUCAGAUUUUUGGUAUAAUGUAUAUGUGAAACAAAAAUGAAUUUUGUAAAGUAGAAGACAUAUUAAAGAUAUCUCAUUAUGUCUGUGCAAAUAUAUCAAAAUCCAGUGUACUUUUGGCCACUAUAUAAGGAAUACUCAAGUACCUACCAUAUAGAACCACAUGUAAAUACCAACUCUUUGUAAUAGCUGUUUUGGAAACUUUCUACUGAGUGUUCAAUCCAUUGAUGUUCAAAAAUUCUUACAGGGCACAAAACCAGCACUUCUGUAGCAAAAAAAAAAUUUGGGGGGGGGGGGAGGUACUGAGGAUUGAACCCAGGAACACUUGACCACUGAGCCACGUUCCCAGCCCUAUUUUGUAUUUUAUUUAGAGACAGGGUCUCACUGAGUUGCUUCAUGUCUUGCACUUGAUGAGGCUGGCUUUGAACUCAUGAUCCUCCUGUCUCAGCCUCCUAAGUCACUGGGAUUGCAGGUGUGCACCACUGCGAUGGCAGAAAUUAUGGAGGCACCACUGGGAUAGUAAAUUAUUAAUAAUGAAAACCUAGGGGCUGGGGUUGUGGCUCAGUGGUAGAGUAUUUGCCUAGCAUGCUUGAGGCAACUGGGUUUGAUCUCCAGCACCACAUAAAAAGACUAAACAAAGGUAUUGUGUCCUUGUACAACUAAAAAUAUUAAAAAUACAAACAAAACCUUAGUAAUGUGCUUCUCAUUUUUUACAGAAGUCAAGUGGUUGAGAGACUCUGUGAAUGCAAAGGAGAUAGUCAGUGUGCGGAAAACCUUAACUGGACUCCAGAGCAUAUUUUGAAGGAAAAAACUCCUCCAGGAGUAACACCAUGUGAAAGUCCUGUGUGUGGAGAAGUGACCAUUGGUCAUUCAUCCCUAAAGGUGCCCCUGAGAGGUCCCACUGAACACGAACCAUGUGAGCAUCAGGAAUAUGGAGAGAGGCCAUAUAAUCAGAAGGAGUGUGGGAAAUCCUUCAGCUAUUCUCAGUGUUUGCAGACUCAUGAAAGGACUCACAGUGGAGAGAGACCCUGUGACAAAAAAUGUGAUGAAGCCUUUAGGUGUUCCAGUCCUGUUGGAAAUCAUAAAAGGACUCACACUGGCGAGAAGCCCUAUAAAUGUAAGCAAUGUGGGAAAACCUUCGCUCGUUCUAGUAUCCUUGUAGAGCAUGAAAGAAUUCACACUGGAGAGAAACCAUUUGUGUGUAAGAGUUGCGGCAAAAGAUUUACUCGUUCUAGUUCCCUUUACACACAUGAAAGAAUUCACACUGGAGAGAAACCCUUUGUUUGUAAGCAAUGCAGUAAAGCCUUCUGUGAUCAGAGUUCCCUUCGAUACCAUGAAAGAAUUCACAGGGGAGAGAAGCCAUAUGUAUGUAAGCAAUGUGGGAAAGCCUUUGCUUGUUCUGGUACCUUUCGAAAACAUGAAAGAAUUCACGAAGAAGAGAAACCCUAUAAAUGUCUGCACUGUGUGAAAGCCUUCCGUUCUGACAGUGCCUUUCGAAAACAUAAGAGAGUGCAUACUGGAGAGAAACUCUAUGUAUGUCCGCAUUGUGGUAAAGGCUUUGUUUAUUCCGUUUCUUUUAAGUACCAUGUAAAGACGCACAAUGGAGAGAGAGAAAAGAAACCCUAUGAAUGCAAGCAGUGUGGUAAAACGUUCUAUAGUGCCAGUUACCUGAAAGAACAUGAGAACAUUCACAGUGGAGAGAAACCCUAUGAAUGCAAGCAGUGUGGUAAAGCCUUCCAUAAUUCCGCUUCCCUCCGAAAACAUAACAAAGUGCACACUGGAGAAAAGCCACAUGUAUGUGAGCAAUGUGGGAAAACCUUUGCUUCUUCUAGUUCCUUUCGGAGACAUAACAAAGUUCACACUGGAGAAAAACCACAUGUAUGUGAGCAGUGUGGGAGAGCCUUUGCUUGUUCUAGUUCCUUUCGGAGACAUAACAAAGUUCACACUGGAGAAAAACCACAUGUAUGUGAGCAGUGUGGGAGAGCCUUUGCUUGUUCUGAUUCCUUUCGGAGACAUAAAAGAACUCACACAGGAGAGAAACCCUAUAGAUGUAUGCACUGUGGAAAAGCCUUCAGUUCUGACAGUGCCUUUAGAAGACAUAAAAGAAAAAAAAUGCAUACUGAAGAGAAACCAUAUUUUGACAGCAUUGCAGCAGAGCCUUCAUUUAUCCCUCUUCAUUUAAAUGCCUCGUAAGAACGCACAAUGGAGAGAAACCUUAUGUAUAUGAGCAAUGUGGGAAAACCUUCCUUAUUUUGAAUCAUUUUAUAGCACAUGAACAAGCUCAUAGGGGCAAAUCCUAUGUGUGUAAGCAGUGUGAGAAAAUCUUGUUUCCCAGUUCCCUUCAAAUACAUGAAAGAUUAUACACUGGAGAGAGACCCUACGUUUGUGAGCAGUGUGGGAAAGCAUUCCGUUGUUCCACUGCCCUGAGAACCCAUAAAAAAACGCACAGUGCAGCGAACCUGUACGAACUCAAGCAGUGUGGUAAAGCAUUUGGAGAUCCCAGUUCCCUGAAAACAUGAAAAAAUUCACAGUGGAGAGAAACCCUAUGUAUAAAAGUCUCCAUUUGGCUCACACAUGUGGAUGCACACUGAAUCAAACCUUGUCAUUGUGAAGAAAAAAAAUAAAACCCAAGAAAGUUAUUAGUUGAAACACAGUUUCAAUUAAUGAAAAAUUGUCAUGUAGUGCAAUCUUAUGAGUAAUAUGAAGAACUCGAUGCAAAGUAAUUUGUGUAAAAUACUCCAGAAAAUACGCAAUCUGAAGGAAUUACUACAAGUUAUAAUAAAGAUAUUGUGUUUAUCAGUGGCUCAUUCUUGUUGUGGGGGAGUAAUGGGAGUUGCAUCCAAGGGCACUGUACUACUGAGCUACAUCCCCAGCCCUUUGUUCAGGCAAUACAGAGGGUGGAGCAUCAUACUCCAUACAACCCCACCUACAACUGCUGAGAAUAUUUUGAACUCCAAUGGAAAGAAUUCUUUAAAUUUUCAUCAAGGUUUUAAAAUUUUUUUUUUAAUUCUUUUUCUCUGUUUAAUUAUUACCUUGAUAGUACAUGGACAUUUAUACAGUUUAAAAUUUUUCUGUUCUUCUAGUAUUUUUGAAGCCAGUUUUUUUUUGUUUUGUUUUUUUUUUUUCACGGAUUAGGUUUUUUGUUAAACAGGAUGCUUGAUUAGUAUAUUUUAGUAUUGUUUUGUAUUUAUUUUUAAUUUUUAAAGUUUUUUACUUUACAUAUUUUUUUUCUUCUACCUGUUUCCCUUGAUUCUCUUCUGCUAGCAGCCAAUCUCUAUUCUCUUUCACACUUCCUUUAAUUUUUUACUUCUCUCCUCCCUCAUAAUCUCACAAGCUAUCACUUCUGUUUUCUCUGUCCACCAUUUGAAAGUAUAAACCCUUUUGCAAGCUGGUUGUUAUUAUUGUAGGCAAUAACUGGUCAUAUCAUUUCUGUUUAUUAUGAUAAUUAACUUUGUAGACAUCAUAGUAGAAAUAUUUGGUUUAAUGCUAUAUAUUGUUUGUAUUGGUUGUUGUUAAUUAUUUGUCUACCCCUUGAGGUACGUUAAACCUUCAGAGACACUGUAAGUCCACAAGAUAGAAACUCUGCUGCCUCAGAUCCAUAUUGUUAGAUGGGUAGACAUACAAACAACAUGAAAAAUCAUCACCUCAAGCAAACCAAGAUACUUCAAUAACAGAAUCCAUUGACACCACAGUGGAAGAAAUGUUAGGGAAGGAGUGAAUAUCAGAGAAAAUACAGAAAGUAAAAGGUCACUUCAAUAGAGAGAGGCAGAGAAGAUUGGGGGGGGGAGAACUCUUUGAAAUGAAAGAAUCAAUAAACCAAAUUAAACAUUCAAUGGAAAGCAUCACCAAUAGACGAGAUCACUUGGAAGACAAAACCUCAGGUAAUGAAGACAAAAUAUAUAACCUUAAAAAUAAAGUCAACCAUAGUGAGAAGAUGUUAAAAUAUAAACAGAACUUUCAAGAACUAUGGGUUAACAUGAGAAGACUGAACUUAAAAAUUUUUCUCAUCAGGAUAGAUGAAGAUGUGGAGAUACAAAUCAAAGGAAUGCACAAUCUUUUCAAUGAAAUAAUAGAAAAUUUCCCAAACCUAAAGAAUGAAAUGGAAAAUCAAAUACAAGAGGCAUACAGGAUCCCAAAUGCACAAAAUUAAAACAGACCCAUACCAAGGCACACUAUAAUGGAAAUGCCUAACAUACAGAAUAAGGAUAGAAUUUUAAAGCUGAAAGAGAAAACUAUCAGAUUACUUAUAGGAGGAAACCAAUUCAGAUCUCAGGUGAUUUCUCAACCCAGAUCCUCAAAGCUAGGAGUUCCUGGAAUAACAUACCAAACUCAAAGAAAAUGGGUGCCAACCAAGAACCCAAAUCCAGCAAAAUUAAGCUUCAGAUUUGAAGAUGAAAUAAAAACUUUCCAUGAUAAACAAAAGAAAAGGUAUUUGAAACUAGAAAGCCUGCACUACAGAACAUUCUUACCAAAAUAUACCAUAAAGAUGAAAUGAGAAAAGUGAAAACCAGCUUGUUUUUGUAGGAACUACACUAAAAGAAUAGUCAAAUGAGAAACUAAUGCAAGUCAAAAACUAGAAAUAGGUGCUAAAGUUGUGGCUCAGUGGUAGAAUGCUUGCCCCACAUGCGUGGGGCACUGGGUUUGAUCCUCAGCACCACAUAAAGGUAUUGUGUUCAUCUACUACUAAAUUUUUUUUUUUUAGAGAAUUUUUAAAAAUAUUUUUUAGUUUUCGGCGGACACAACUUCUUUGUUUGUAUGUGGUGCUGAGGAUCGAACCCGGGCCGCACGCAUGCUAGGCGAGCUCGAUACCGCUUGAGCCACAUCCCCAGCCCCCUACUAAAAAAAUUUUAAAAUGUUAAUCAGAAGGGACAAGGAUAUUCCAUACUGCUUAAGGGAAUUACCCAUCAAUAAGAUAACAGUCAUAAAUAUUUAUGCCCCAAACAAUGGAGCAUCUACACACAUCAGUCAAACCCUUCUCAAUUUCAAGAAUCAAAUAGACCACAAUUCAAUAAUACUGGGUAACUUUUCUGUGACCACUGGAUAGAUGCUCCAAACAAAAACUAAAGCCAAAGAACUAAAAAAUACAAUUGACAAUGUGGACUUGGACUGAAUACACUUUCUUAGCCAAUGGAGCCUUGUGUAAUAUAGACCACAUAUGUUCACAUACAAUUGUAAUAUUAAUAUAUUUUUAGCAACUGAAGGAUUAUUUAUAUAGCUCUCUUUCCAUUUAUAUUUUUUGUGUUCUUGCUUUUUUCUUGAUUAGAUUUGUUUAUCAAACUUAAGGUGUAUUUCUUAUUU